RNAcentral lists this unclassified non-coding RNA (285 nucleotides) under uncultured fungus. RNAcentral's name for it is "partial contains 5.8S ribosomal RNA, internal transcribed spacer 2, and large subunit ribosomal RNA". The record is from RNAcentral. Lineage: Eukaryota; Fungi.
AACGCAAAUUGCGCUUCAUGGCAAUCCAUGGAGCAUACCUGUUUGAGUCUCGCUUUAUCCCUUUCCAAAUAUUUGGAAGAUAUGCGUCAUUUUUCGUAUCUCACUACGAAAAGGACGUUAAAAAGCAUUUUUACGAAUCACAUGUUUUACCCGCCAGAGGUUUUCAGAUUCGAGGAAUAAGUGUGCCUAUCAUACCAAUUUCUCUUUUCGAAGCUUGCUACAGGGAUUUUUAUUGAAACAUGAACUCUUGAGCUCAAAUCAGGCAGGACUACCCGCUGAACUUAA